UGAGAUGUACCUUUGAGCUUCGGGCUGCACGGUCCUGAGGCCAGGAGUCUGGGAGACCCAGGAAGCAAGCUCUGCUGGAGUGGACUUCCCAGGAGGACCCCAACCCCCUCUGCUGGAGUGGUUCCUGGGGGUCUGCAAGAGUUUUAAUCCCCGAGGGCGGUGUCCUCCUCGGUCGGGAUUGUGCUUCCGGUGCGAAGGUCACGGACAAGAUGGUGCCGCCGGUGCAAGUCUCUCCGCUCAUCAAGCUUGGCCGCUACUCCGCCCUGUUCCUCGGCAUGGCCUACGGAGCCAAGCGCUACAAUUACCUGAAACCUCGGGCAGAAGAGGAGAGGAGGAUAGCCGCUGAGGAGAAAAAGAAGCAGGACGAACUGAAGCGGAUCGAGAGAGAACUGGCAGAAGCCCAAGAGGACAGCAUAUUGAAGUGAGCCUGCAUUUCUCUGGAGCAGCGUGGAUGAAUAAAGCCUUUUGUGCUGUGUA
This is a long non-coding RNA of Camelus dromedarius (Arabian camel), 477 nucleotides long. RefSeq annotates it as ATP synthase membrane subunit e. The transcript is spliced from 6 exons. NCBI's taxonomy places the organism in Eukaryota, Metazoa, Chordata, Mammalia, Artiodactyla, Camelidae. The record is from RefSeq and is a predicted model, not a curated record.